CAGCAGCCACGGGAAUACAGAGGGUGCGAGCGUUAAUCGGAUUUACUGGGCGUAAAGCGUGCGUAGGCGGCUUCUUAAGUCGGAUGUGAAAUCCCUGAGCUUAACUUAGGAAUUGCAUUCGAUACUGGGAAGCUAGAGUAUGGGAGAGGAUGGUAGAAUUCCAGGUGUAGCGGUGAAAUGCGUAGAGAUCUGGAGGAAUACCGAUGGCGAAGGCAGCCAUCUGGCCUAAUACUGACGCUGAGGUACGAAAGCAUGGGGAGCAAACAGGAUUAGAUACCCGCGUAGUCCCUGUCUCUUAUAC
Molecule: ribosomal RNA, 301 nt
Filed under: uncultured bacterium
Lineage: Bacteria
Description: partial 16S ribosomal RNA
Rfam family: Bacterial small subunit ribosomal RNA
Source: RNAcentral